UUUCAUUUCAAAUGAAUCAUAUGCACAAGGUCUACUGAUGCUGGAACAGUGUCUUUCCACUCAGUCAAGUGAGGUCCCAGAUGCUAAAAACUCGAGGGGAUUGGUUUUUCUGGCUAUGUCUACCUUAUUCUUGGAAAGGGGAUUUUGGCGAGGCAAUCGAAAAACUUCAGAGAAUCCAAGAUUUAAAUAACUCUUCUUUAGGCAUUAAAGGGAUCCUCAUGCAAUGGCGACAAAGAGAGAGAAGAUAUUGUCUUCUCUUUAAGGAUGAGAAGACUUAUGGAGAGCAAUGUCAAUUUGUAUAGUCC
Long non-coding RNA from Juglans microcarpa x Juglans regia, 305 nucleotides. RefSeq lists it as uncharacterized. The transcript has 3 exons. Lineage: Eukaryota; Viridiplantae; Streptophyta; Magnoliopsida; Fagales; Juglandaceae. The record is from RefSeq and is a predicted model, not a curated record.